GUGCUUCCAGUUUUGCUUCCAGUGGGUCGUGGAACACUAGACCCCUUUCCCCAAUCCCACGGCCGCCUCCAUCCUCCCGUGCUCCACCCCGAGCGUGCCCGGGCUCCGCCUCCUCCUCCUCCUCCUCCUCCUCCUCCACCAUCCCUUCUCUUCUCACUCUUCCUCCUGUCGCAGUCGCCUCCUCUUCUCCCACAGCCCCCCGCUCCUUCUCACAGCCGCCACACCAUUCCUCCCUUCCGCCCCCUCCUCCUUCCCGGAACCCCACCACGGCGCUGACUUGCAGGCAAAGGACGACAACGGCGGCGCUCUCCUCAUCCCCUCCACUCCCUCGACAACGGUGGCGGCGGCGCCCUCUGGUGGCGGAGGAGGGGGGAGAUGGUGGAGCAGCGGCGACCUUCCCCUCAUGCAUCCCAUCCCCCCCGUCAUCCCGGAUCCUACCGGACCCGAGGCAUGCGGGCGCGGCGGCGACCUGCAAGGGAAGGACGACGCUCGAAUCGAUCCAGCGCCAUGGAUCGGUCCCUGCGGGAGAAAGAGAAAAUGAGGGAGAGAGAAGGAAGGAGAGGAAGGAGAAAGAGAGAGGAAAGAGGAGAGGGAGGUGCAGCGUUGACCGACGGCUCGUGCGGUGGUGCGGCAGACGGCCAUUUCGAUGAGAUCCACCACCUUGUGAGGUUUUCAUCUGCCCCGGGUUGCGAGGAAGCCGCGGGAGGAGGAGAGACCUCAGUGCAAGGAAGGUACGGAGGAGGAGCUCAACCAGCGUGUCUUCAGCCGGAGGAAGGAAGCAGCGGAUGCGAUCCAGGAGGCGGGUCGGCUCGGCCCAGCCAUGGAGCUGCCGCUGCGGACUCCCCGCCGGCCUCCUUCGUCUUCAUGUGGAUUUGCAUGGCAAGUGAUGUUGUGUUGCCAAUGACACAUCUAGAAUUUCCGUUUGUGACUCCUGUAGGUAGCGAGUCCAGUGACAUCCUGAUCAUUCAGUCAUUGAGGAUUUGGAAAGAGGCAUCAAGGCAGCAAAUGGGGCAGUAUUUUGAUCUCAUUUCGUGUGAUGCAUUUAUAAAUGGGGCAGUAUUUUGAUCUCAUUUCCACUAAUUCAUUUAUUAUUUGUUGUCUUCAUUACAUGCUACCAAGUUUGGGUUGCUUUUCUUAUAUCAUUAUUUUGUAGUCUGCUUCACCGUGAACUUGAAUGAAGACCCAUAUUGUUAUCUAAUUUGUGAAAGUCACUGAGCUGCUGCUACGCGCACUAGAAGAUUGACUGCUCUAUGUGGCACAGAUAUUCCUGAAUUUUUCUUUGUAGUGGUUGGGUCCUGCCAUACUAUGUGGCACAGAUGUUCCUGGAUUUUUCUUUGUAGUGGUUGGGUCCUGCCAUAAAACCUGUAACAGCAGCAAGAUGCAGUUCUCGGCAAAUGGCUUUUAGAUCUGAGAAAGAAGAUGAACAGGAGAAUCCAAUAGAAGAAUUUGGUGAAGAACAAGGGUUGCGGAUGGAGGAGUAUGUUAUUUCGACGGUCUUCUGUUUUGCUGUUGCGUGUGCCUUCAGGUCCAUCAGUCUGUUAUUGCCGUUAUCUUCUUGGGAGUACUUGAGAAGGCGUGGCUGGGAAUGUGGGGACACGCCAUGGCAGAGGCGUGUGGUCGGCAGGAGGAGUCAGGGAGGCAUGAAGGUGGACAUGUGUAUGUUAUCAUGGCAUUGACACAUUUCGCUCCAGCGAUGCUACAUACUAGGGAUUCGUUGGAAGCCACACAGGGCACCCGAGAAGGAGAGGAGAAUGCUCUGAACAGAGGAAAUGAUAAGUUUCAUUGUUUUGUUUUAAGAGAAAGGGAGUUGAUAUGUAGCCCCCUGGCUUAUGUGUAUGGCCAAAGAAAUCAUGAUUCUAUACACACACAUAUUUUUAAACAAAACCUAUGUAUUUUUUGCUCAAACAAUCACCCGGAAGUGCACAUAUUUUCAAUGCGUA
Molecule: long non-coding RNA, 1940 nt
Organism: Triticum dicoccoides
Lineage: Eukaryota; Viridiplantae; Streptophyta; Magnoliopsida; Poales; Poaceae
Exons: 6
Source: RefSeq, a predicted model, not a curated record